CCCUUAGAUGUUCUGGGCCGCACGCGCGCUACACUGAUACAUGCAACGAGUUUAUAACCUUGAUCUGACGGUCUGGGUAAUCUUCAAACUGUAUCGUGUUAGGGAUCGAUUCUUGCAAUUUUUAAUCGUAAACGAGGAAUUCCUAGUAAACGCAAGUCAUCAGCUUGCAUUGAUUACGUCCCUACCCUUUGUACACACCGCCCGUCGACUCUACCGAUUGAAUGGUUCGGUGAAAACUUUGGACUGUGGCAUUGUCCUUCAUUGGACUUCGCCGUAGGAAAUUGUUUAAACCUCAUCAUUUAGAGGAAGAAUAAGUCGUANCA
RNAcentral lists this ribosomal RNA (323 nucleotides) under uncultured eukaryote. Its description in RNAcentral is "partial 18S ribosomal RNA". It matches the Rfam family "Eukaryotic small subunit ribosomal RNA", at positions 1470 to 1796 of the family's 1831-position model. The record is from RNAcentral.